This 439-nucleotide ribosomal RNA is filed under the name uncultured bacterium. RNAcentral's name for it is "bacterial SSU rRNA". It matches the Rfam family "Bacterial small subunit ribosomal RNA", at positions 355 to 786 of the family's 1533-position model. The record is from RNAcentral.
UAGGGAAUUUUCGUCAAUGGGGGAACCCGUGAACGAGCAAUGCCGCGUGUGUGAAGAAGGUCUUCGGAUCGUAAAGCACUGUUGUAAGUGAAGAAUGCCAUAUAGAGGAAAUGCCAUGUGGGUGACGGUAGCUUACCAGAAAGCCACGGCUAACUACGUGCCAGCAGCCGCGGUAAUACGUAGGUGGCAAGCGUUAUCCGGAAUCAUUGGGCGUAAAGGGUGCGUAGGUGGCACGAUAAGUCUGAAGUAAAAGGCAACAGCUCAACUGUUGUAUGCUUUGGAAACUGUCGAGCUAGAGUGCAGAAGAGGGCGAUGGAAUUCCAUGUGUAGCGGUAAAAUGCGUAGAUAUAUGGAAGAACACCAGUGGCGAAAGCGGCUCUCUGGUCUGCAACUGACGCUGAGGUUCGAAAGCGUGGGGUAGCAAACAGGAUUAGAUACC